UACAGAGGGUGCAAGCGUUAAUCGGACUGACUGGGCGUAAAGGGCAUGUAGGCGGAUGUUUAAGUUAGAUGUGAAAUAUACGGGCUCAACCUGUGUGCUGCAUCUAAAACUGAAUAUCUAGAGAACAGCAGAGGGCAGUGGAAUUUCCGGUGUAGCGGUGAAAUGCGUAGAUAUCGGAAGGAACACCAGUGGCGAAGGCGACUGUCUGGGCUGAAUCUGACGCUGAGAUGCGAAGGCGUGGGUAGCGAACAGG
RNAcentral lists this ribosomal RNA (253 nucleotides) under uncultured bacterium. RNAcentral describes it as "partial 16S ribosomal RNA". It matches the Rfam family "Bacterial small subunit ribosomal RNA", at positions 524 to 776 of the family's 1533-position model. The record is from RNAcentral.